GGAUAUCAUCAUAUAUUGUAAG
Molecule: microRNA, 22 nt
Filed under: Callorhinchus milii (elephant shark)
Lineage: Eukaryota; Metazoa; Chordata; Chondrichthyes; Chimaeriformes; Callorhinchidae
Description: eshark_mir-144_1
Source: RNAcentral